This 748-nucleotide ribosomal RNA is filed under the name Acinetobacter nectaris. RNAcentral describes it as "bacterial SSU rRNA". It matches the Rfam family "Bacterial small subunit ribosomal RNA", at positions 508 to 1256 of the family's 1533-position model. The record is from RNAcentral. Lineage: Bacteria; Pseudomonadati; Pseudomonadota; Gammaproteobacteria; Moraxellales; Moraxellaceae.
CCAGCAGCCGCGGUAAUACAGAGGGUGCAAGCGUUAAUCGGAAUUACUGGGCGUAAAGCGCGCGUAGGUGGCCAUUUAAGUCAAAUGUGAAAUCCCCGAGCUUAACUUGGGAAUUGCAUUCGAUACUGGAUGGCUAGAGUAUAGGAGAGGAAGGUAGAAUUCCAGGUGUAGCGGUGAAAUGCGUAGAGAUCUGGAGGAAUACCGAUGGCGAAGGCAGCCUUCUGGCCUAAUACUGACACUGAGGUGCGAAAGCAUGGGGAGCAAACAGGAUUAGAUACCCUGGUAGUCCAUGCCGUAAACGAUGUCUACUAGCCGUUGGGUCCUUUGAGGACUUAGUGGCGCAGCUAACGCGAUAAGUAGACCGCCUGGGGAGUACGGUCGCAAGACUAAAACUCAAAUGAAUUGACGGGGGCCCGCACAAGCGGUGGAGCAUGUGGUUUAAUUCGAUGCAACGCGAAGAACCUUACCUGGCCUUGACAUACUAAGAACUUUCUAGAGAUAGAUUGGUGCUUUCGGGAACUUAGAUACAGGUGCUGCAUGGCUGUCGUCAGCUCGUGUCGUGAGAUGUUGGGUUAAGUCCCGCAACGAGCGCAACCCUUUUCCUUACUUGCCAGCAUUUCGGAUGGGAACUUUAAGGAUACUGCCAGUGACAAACUGGAGGAAGGCGGGGACGACGUCAAGUCAUCAUGGCCCUUACGGCCAGGGCUACACACGUGCUACAAUGGUCGGUACAGAGGGUUGCUACACA